Molecule: ribosomal RNA, 465 nt
Filed under: uncultured bacterium
Lineage: Bacteria
Description: partial 16S ribosomal RNA
Rfam family: Bacterial small subunit ribosomal RNA
Source: RNAcentral
CUACGGGACGCUGCAGUGAGGAAUAUUGCGCAAUGGGGGAAACCCUGACGCAGCGACGCCGCGUGGAUGAUGAAGGCCUUAGGGUCGUAAAAUCCUGUCAGGUGGGAAGAAGUGGAUAUAGAUUAAUACUCUAUUUCUUUGACGGUACCACCAAAGGAAGCACCGGCUAACUCCGUGCCAGCAGCCGCGGUAAUACGGAGGGUGCAAACGUUGUUCGGAAUUACUGGGCGUAAAGCGCGCGUAGGCGGUUUGUUAAGUCGGAUGUGAAAGUCCAUGGCUCAAAUAUGGAAGGGCAUUUGAAACUGGCAGACUUGAGUACUGGAGGGGGUGAUGGAAUUCCCGGUGUAGAGGUGAAAUUCGUAGAUAUCGGGAGGAAUACCGGUGGCGAAGGCGAUCACCUGGCCAGAUACUGACGCUGAGGUGCGAAAGCGUGGGGAGCAAACAGGAUUAGAUACCCCCGUAGUC